RNAcentral lists this long non-coding RNA (559 nucleotides) under Pongo abelii (Sumatran orangutan). RNAcentral describes it as "lincRNA". Lineage: Eukaryota; Metazoa; Chordata; Mammalia; Primates; Hominidae. The record is from RNAcentral.
AGACAUCUGGACCACUAGCUGCAUGAAGGAGCUACCCGCUGUGGGUCUCCUCUUUGCUGACAGCUGGACACUUGACAGAAUGACCUGCCUGAACUCGGGACCUGCUGAAUGAUGGGACUGAAGAAGCUGUAACACAAACAGGGCUAAAACACGCACUCUUCCCCCGGCUCCCCACCGCCCCACCCACUUGCCACAUUGCAGGUGAUGAGAAGGAGAGAAGAGCUGUGGCCUUUCAGAGAGCAUAGUCCCAGGGGCUCCCUGAGCCAGGGCUGUGAAACCCUCUUCUGGGCACUGCAGUUCCUGGUAUCUCCAAGCUUCUGAGUGCCACCGCUUUCCCCGCGUCCGGAAGCAGGUCGAUGCACGGAAAGAAAUCUCUCUCCUCACUUUAGGACAAUGGCAUAAUUGGUGGCCAUAGUACAAGGAUGGUUGCUGGGGCACCAUGAGAUUUCUGACAAAAGGCAUUAAAACUGAGAAAGUUUGGGAAUCUCUGAAUGCGGUAGAAUAAUGGCCUCCAGCUCCACCCAAGUUGCUGCAAGAGACUUUAUUUCAUUCCUUUUAA